RNAcentral lists this ribosomal RNA (494 nucleotides) under uncultured Glomus. RNAcentral's name for it is "SSU rRNA". It matches the Rfam family "Eukaryotic small subunit ribosomal RNA", at positions 569 to 1068 of the family's 1831-position model. Lineage: Eukaryota; Fungi; Glomeromycota; Glomeromycetes; Glomerales; Glomeraceae. The record is from RNAcentral.
AGCAGCCGCGGUAAUUCCAGCUCCAAUAGCGUAUAUUAAAGUUGUUGCAGUUAAAAAGCUCGUAGUUGAAUUUCGGGAUCAAUAUGUUGGUCGUGCCUUGGUACGUACUGGCAUUAUCGAUUCCUACCUUCUGAAGAACCUCGAUGUCAUUAAUUUGGUGUCUUGGGGAAUCAGGACUGUUACUUUGAAAAAAUUAGAGUGUUUAAAGCAGGCUCGCGCUUGAAUACAUUAGCAUGGAAUAAUGAAAUAGGACGUUUGAUUCUAUUUUGUUGGUUUCUAGGAUCGACGUAAUGAUUAAUAGGGAUAGUUGGGGGCAUUAGUAUUCAAUUGUCAGAGGUGAAAUUCUUGGAUUUAUUGAAGACUAACUACUGCGAAAGCAUUUGCCAAGGAUGUUUUCAUUAAUCAAGAACGAAAGUUAGGGGAUCGAAGACGAUCAGAUACCGUCGUAGUCUUAACCAUAAACUAUGCCGACUAGGGAUCGGAUGAUGUUAAUU